This 117-nucleotide long non-coding RNA is filed under the name Ixodes scapularis (black-legged tick). RNAcentral's name for it is "uncharacterized LOC120837185". The record is from RNAcentral. Lineage: Eukaryota; Metazoa; Arthropoda; Arachnida; Ixodida; Ixodidae.
GCGACGACUGGGAGCCGAGCCGUUUGUCGUCUGCGUGCGGCAUUAAGGCUUCUUCGACUUGGUACUGCAAUGAAGCGCCGCAAAUAACUUCUGCUGGUCAUGGUCGAGGAGCGGCAU